RNAcentral lists this ribosomal RNA (274 nucleotides) under uncultured bacterium. RNAcentral describes it as "partial 16S ribosomal RNA". It matches the Rfam family "Bacterial small subunit ribosomal RNA", at positions 523 to 796 of the family's 1533-position model. The record is from RNAcentral.
AUACGGAGGGUGCAAGCGUUACUCGGAAUCACUGGGCGUAAAGCGCGCGCAGGCGGCUAUUUAAGUUGGAUGUGAAAGCCUACGGCUCAACCGUAGAACUGCAUCCAAAACUAUUUAGCUAGAGUGUGGGAGAGGAAGAUGGAAUUAGUUGUGUAAGGGUAAAAUCCGUAGAGAUAACUAGGAAUACCGAAAGCGAAGGCGAUCUUCUGGAACAGUACUGACGCUGAGGCGCGAAAGCGUGGGGAGCAAACAGGAUUAGAAACCCUAGUAGUCC